This 1440-nucleotide ribosomal RNA is filed under the name uncultured organism. RNAcentral describes it as "SSU rRNA". It matches the Rfam family "Bacterial small subunit ribosomal RNA". The record is from RNAcentral.
AACGCUAGCUACAGGCUUAACACAUGCAAGUCGAGGGGCAUCAGGAAGAAAGCUUGCUUUCUUUGCUGGCGACCGGCGCACGGGUGAGUAACACGUAUCCAACCUGCCCUUUACUCGGGGAUAGCCUUUCGAAAGAAAGAUUAAUACCCGAUAGCAUAACGAUUCCGCAUGGUUUCAUUAUUAAAGGAUUCCGGUAAAGGAUGGGGAUGCGUUCCAUUAGGUUGUUGGUGAGGUAACGGCCCACCAAGCCUUCGAUGGAUAGGGGUUCUGAGAGGAAGGUCCCCCACAUUGGAACUGAGACACGGUCCAAACUCCUACGGGAGGCAGCAGUGAGGAAUAUUGGUCAAUGGGCGCUAGCCUGAACCAGCCAAGUAGCGUGAAGGAUGAAGGCUCUAUGGGUCGUAAACUUCUUUUAUAUAAGAAUAAAGUGCAGUAUGUAUACUGUUUUGUAUGUAUUAUAUGAAUAAGGAUCGGCUAACUCCGUGCCAGCAGCCGCGGUAAUACGGAGGAUCCGAGCGUUAUCCGGAUUUAUUGGGUUUAAAGGGAGCGUAGGUGGACUGGUAAGUCAGUUGUGAAAGUUUGCGGCUCAACCGUAAAAUUGCAGUUGAUACUGUCAGUCUUGAGUACAGUAGAGGUGGGCGGAAUUCGUGGUGUAGCGGUGAAAUGCUUAGAUAUCACGAAGAACUCCGAUUGCGAAGGCAGCUCACUGGACUGCAACUGACACUGAUGCUCGAAAGUGUGGGUAUCAAACAGGAUUAGAUACCCUGGUAGUCCACACAGUAAACGAUGAAUACUCGCUGUUUGCGAUAUACAGUAAGCGGCCAAGCGAAAGCAUUAAGUAUUCCACGUGGGGAGUACGCCGGCAACGGUGAAACUCAAAGGAAUUGACGGGGGCCCGCACAAGCGGAGGAACAUGUGGUUUAAUUCGAUGAUACGCGAGGAACCUUACCCGGGCUUAAAUUGCAGUGGAAUGAUGUGGAAACAUGUCAGUGAGCAAUCACCGCUGUGAAGGUGCUGCAUGGUUGUCGUCAGCUCGUGCCGUGAGGUGUCGGCUUAAGUGCCAUAACGAGCGCAACCCUUAUCUUUAGUUACUAACAGGUUAUGCUGAGGACUCUAGAGAGACUGCCGUCGUAAGAUGUGAGGAAGGUGGGGAUGACGUCAAAUCAGCACGGCCCUUACGUCCGGGGCUACACACGUGUUACAAUGGGGGGUACAGAAGGCAGCUAGCGGGUGACCGUAUGCUAAUCCCAAAAUCCUCUCUCAGUUCGGAUCGAAGUCUGCAACCCGACUUCGUGAAGCUGGAUUCGCUAGUAAUCGCGCAUCAGCCACGGCGCGGUGAAUACGUUCCCGGGCCUUGUACACACCGCCCGUCAAGCCAUGGGAGCCGGGGGUACCUGAAGUACGUAACCGCAAGGAUCGUCCUAGGGUAAAACUGGUGAC